Molecule: unclassified non-coding RNA, 444 nt
Filed under: Fraxinus angustifolia
Lineage: Eukaryota; Viridiplantae; Streptophyta; Magnoliopsida; Lamiales; Oleaceae
Description: partial external transcribed spacer
Source: RNAcentral
GGCUUGUGUGGGUAUGUUGGAUCCCUGCCGUGGCAGCGACAACAUCCUCUUCAUGCCUGUUCAUUGGAUGACCGAAUCUCGCAUUUCGUCAUCUCACCUUCGGUUCCCUGUGUUGCAUACCUUCGCGACGGUAUCCUGUCGGCUAGAAUCGCCCCGUUUCGCCCUACGUUGCGAGUAACAUCGCGACCGAAGGCGAACCGAAAAGCAUUCAUCGCGUUCCACCCCGUUCGCGUUACGCGUUGCGGGGACCGGCCCACGAUGACGUGCUCGAAUUCUCGGAUGCGGAACACAAUGUGGGCACGAGGACGUCGAUCCUCCGUUUGCCCCUCGAACAAGCGUUCUACGCUCUGUGCGAACGACGUUCUUUCUCGUGCUGGGCUUCCGUCCACACGAGGUCGACGUCGCAGAGGAAUGCUACCUGGUUGAUCCUGCCAGUAGUCAUAU